GGCGGCAUAGCCAAGUGGCAAGGCGAUGGUCUGCAAAACCAUUAUUCCCCGGUUCAAAUCCGGGUGCCGCCU
This 72-nucleotide transfer RNA is filed under the name bacterium. Its description in RNAcentral is "tRNA-Cys". It matches the Rfam family "tRNA". Rfam says of the family: Transfer RNA (tRNA) molecules are approximately 80 nucleotides in length. Their secondary structure includes four short double-helical elements and three loops (D, anti-codon, and T loops). Further hydrogen bonds mediate the characteristic L-shaped molecular structure. tRNAs have two regions of fundamental functional importance: the anti-codon, which is responsible for specific mRNA codon recognition, and the 3' end, to which the tRNAs corresponding amino acid is attached (by aminoacyl-tRNA synthetases). tRNAs cope with the degeneracy of the genetic code in two manners: having more than one tRNA (with a specific anti-codon) for a particular amino acid; and 'wobble' base-pairing, i.e. permitting non-standard base-pairing at the 3rd anti-codon position. RNAcentral also lists the same sequence under 1 other name. The record is from RNAcentral.